AGAGUUUGAUCCUGGCUCAGNNNNNNCGNUGGCGGCGUGCUUAACACAUGCAAGUCGAACGAGACGAUUGAAAGCUUGCUUUUGAAAGUCGAGUGGCAAACGGGUGAGUAACGCGUAGACAACCUGCCGUAAAGAUGGGGACAACAGUCCGAAAGGAUUGCUAAUACCGAAUGUUGUGGAACUUCCGCAUGGGAGCUCCACUAAAGAUGGCCUCUACUUGUAAGCUAUCGCUUUACGAUGGGUCUGCGUCUGAUUAGCUAGNUGGUGGGGUAACGGCUUACCAAGGCGACGAUCAGUACCCGGUCUGAGAAGGAUGAACGGGCCCUUUGGGAACUGAGACACGGUCCCAGACUCCUACUGGAGGCAGCAAUUGGGGAAAUCUUUCCGCAAUGGGGCCAAGCCNG
RNAcentral lists this ribosomal RNA (404 nucleotides) under uncultured bacterium. RNAcentral's name for it is "partial 16S ribosomal RNA". It matches the Rfam family "Bacterial small subunit ribosomal RNA", at positions 8 to 385 of the family's 1533-position model. The record is from RNAcentral.